This 613-nucleotide ribosomal RNA is filed under the name uncultured bacterium. Its description in RNAcentral is "bacterial SSU rRNA". It matches the Rfam family "Bacterial small subunit ribosomal RNA", at positions 61 to 724 of the family's 1533-position model. The record is from RNAcentral.
GUCGAAUGGGUUUAGACCCAUGGCGAACGGGGGAGUAACGCGUAGGAAGUUGCUCCGGAGUUCGGGAUAACCAAUCGAAAGGCUGGCUAAUACCGAAUAGUCCCGCAAGGGUAAAGAUUUAUUGCUCCGGAAGACGCCUGCGUCCUAUCAGUUUGUUGGUGAGGUAACGGCUCACCAAGACUAUGACGGGUAACUGGUCUGAGAGGAUGAUCAGUCACAGUGGAACUGAGACACGGUCCACACUCCUACGGGAGGCAGCAGUAGGGAAUUGUCGGCAAUGGACGAAAGUCUGACCGCGCGACGCCGCGUGGAGGAAGAAGGCCUUAGGGUUGUAAACUUCUUUUAUGGGGGACGAUUAUGACGGUACCCCACGAAUAAGGGCCUGCUAACUACGUGCCAGCAGCAGCGGUAAUACGUAGGGCUCGAGCAUUAUCCGGAAUUAUUGGGUGUAAAGAAUGUGUAGGUGUUCCUACAAGUCGGUUGUUAAAUCUCACUGCCCAACAGUGAGACCGCAAGCGAAACUGUAGGAAUUGAGGUUUGCAGGGGCAAGUAGAAUUCUUGGAGUAGAGGUGAAAUUCGUUGAUACCAAGAGGAAUACCAAUGGCGAAGGCAG